This 580-nucleotide ribosomal RNA is filed under the name Exallage auricularia. RNAcentral describes it as "eukaryotic LSU rRNA". The record is from RNAcentral. Lineage: Eukaryota; Viridiplantae; Streptophyta; Magnoliopsida; Gentianales; Rubiaceae.
UCCUGCAAGCCACCGCGAACACGUUUUGAAAUCCGCGGGCCGUCGGCGCGCUCAGGUUCGCCGGCGCCCGCACCUAACUCAACUUCCGGCGCGGAUUGCGCCAAGGACUACUUAAACGGAUCGUCCGCGUCCCGCUGCGGAUUCCGCAGGCAGGGCGCGGGGCGUCUGAAUCGUAACCAAUACGACUCUCGGCAACGGAUAUCUAGGCUCUCGCAUCGAUGAAGAACGUAGCGAAAUGCGAUACUUGGUGUGAAUUGCAGAAUCCCGUGAACCAUCGAGUUUUUGAACGCAAGUUGCGCCCGAAGCCAUUAGGCUGAGGGCACGUCUGCCUGGGCGUCACGCAUCGUCGCCACCCCCCACYGCGCUCCGGCGCAUCGGGCCGGGUGACGGAUGUUGGCCUCCCGUGCCCCCGCGGCGCGGCCGGCCUAAAUCCGAGUCCUCCGCACGGGACGUCACGGCAAGUGGUGGUUGAAAACCUCAACUCGAUCGAAGCCGUGACCGAAUCCGUUGGGCAGAGCUCGCGCAAGACCCCGGAGCCUUCGGGCCCUCGACCAUGACCCCAGGUCAGGCGGGACUACCC